This is a long non-coding RNA of Salvelinus fontinalis (brook trout), 1473 nucleotides long. RefSeq lists it as uncharacterized. The record is from RefSeq and is a predicted model, not a curated record. Lineage: Eukaryota; Metazoa; Chordata; Actinopteri; Salmoniformes; Salmonidae. The transcript is spliced from 3 exons.
GUGUUUAGUAUAGUGAAGUGUUUAGUGUUUAGUAUAGUGAAGUGUUUAGUGUUUAGUGGAGUGUGUGUUGUGAGUGACAUUCUGUGUCCUGUCCUUCAGUCAUCACCAUCCUCAAUGGGAAGGUGGAGGAGGUGGAACUGCCAGUGGAGAAGGUUGACAUCAUCAUCUCAGAGUGGAUGGGCUACUGUCUCUUCUACGAGUCUAUGCUCAAUACGGUCAUCUUUGCCAGGGACAAAUGGCUAAAGCCUGGAGGGCUGAUGUUUCCUGACAAGGCUGCCCUGUAUGUGGUGGCCAUCGAGGACAGGCAGUACAAGGACUUCAAGAUACACUGGUGGGAGAACGUGUAUGGUUUUGACAUGACCUGCAUCCGUAACGUGGCCAUGAGAGAGCCCCUGGUGGACGUGGUGGACCCCAAACAGGUGGUGACCAACGCCUGCCUAGUCAAGGUCAGUGUGUGUGUGUGUGUGUGUGUGUGUGUGUGUGUGUGUGUGUGUGUGUGUGUGUGUGUGUGUGUGUGUGUGUGUGUGUGUGUGUGUGUGUGUGUGUGUGUGUGUGAUAAUGGCUGACCCUGGCCGUGACCCUACUCUCAGGGGGAGUUGGGAUUGUAACGGGUUUCGUCCUCUUCGUCUGACGAGGAGUAGCAAGGAUCGGGCCAAUACGCAGCGUGGUAAGUGUCCAUAUUGAUAUUUUUAUUAAAUCAAACAGAACACUGAACGAAAUAACAAAAGUACAAACAAACCCGAAACAGUCCCGUAUGGUGAAAACACUAACACAGGAUACAACCACCCACAAAACAUAAAGGAAAACAGGCUACCUAAAUAUGGCUCCCAAUCAGAGACAACGACUGACACCUGCCUCUGAUUGGGAACCAUACUAGGCCAAACACAUAGAAAAAGACAACCUAGACAUACAACAUAGAAUGUCCACCAACAUCACACCCUGACCAAACAAAACAUAGAAACAUACAAAGCAAUCUGUGGUCAGGGUGUGACAGGGAUAUGCAACAGCAACAAAACAUCUAAAUCUUGUGUAUAAUACACACUUGUUAUUAUUUAUUGCCUGAAUCCAGACUAAAAAAAAUGAUUUCCAAAAUUGAAGUGUCACAGAGAGACUACAAGCCAAGAAUUAUGAUGAGCCCUAAAUGGGUUCCGUGUCCCUGUCUGUGAUUUGCAUGUCAAUGAAUGUGUCUAGACAGUACAGACUUCACAGUGGGACCCAUGCCAGCCACCGUAUCUGAGCCAUAAAUAGGCCUGGCACUCCCGGGUCUGUGUGACACAUUUGGAUUUAACACUGCUGUCUUGUCCUGUCCAAUGACGGCCUGUCUGUCCUGUCCAAUGAUGGCCUGUCUGUCCUGUCCAAUGAUGGCCUGUCUGUCCUGUCCAAUGUCACAUCAAUCAUCCAAAAGAGAGAAUAUAUCCUCCAUUUCAAAAUGUGAGGCAUGAUAUGAGAUGCUGUGUGAAUUAUCUUCAGGAG